Long non-coding RNA from Ziziphus jujuba (common jujube), 918 nucleotides. RefSeq lists it as uncharacterized. The transcript is spliced from 3 exons. Lineage: Eukaryota; Viridiplantae; Streptophyta; Magnoliopsida; Rosales; Rhamnaceae. The record is from RefSeq and is a predicted model, not a curated record.
UUGGGUUUCUUCUUUCUUUUUCCUCUGUUGCCUUCGGCGAGCACAUAUUCACUGGUUUUUCUUCCAUUUUGAAUAGCGUCCAUGCUGGGUUCAUCAAUGGGUUUCUUUAUUUGGCCAUUUUUUGUUUUUGUUUUUUUAUUUUUUAUUUUCCUUAUUGGGUUGCUAUCGUUGUUGGCUUUCUUAGUGUGUUUAUUGCUGGGUUGUUGGGUGCUAUUUGCUAUGUUGUUGUGUUGUACGGGUUGCAAAUGGAAAAAAUUUGGGUCAUGGGUUUUUCUUCAAAUUUAAUUGAUGGGUUUUCAUAAUCUUACUUGUUUUUUAUUUUGCUUGGGAUUAAGGUUUUUUUCGUGAUUUUGCUUAGAAUUGGGAUUUGUUUUUGAUUUUGCAUCAUAUUGGGGUUUUCAUUUUGAUUUUGGUCGCUCGUUGUGCAGUGAUUUGAGUUAGCACGAUGACCGAAGUUUGCUCCAUGAGGUGAGCUGCUUGGCCUCAAGUUGUAUUUGGGUUUUGUUAUCAGGAUUGUAUCAGAUUUGGCGUCGUUGGAAACGGCACCAAUACCAAUCUCAAAAGCAACCCGGCAAAGUGAUAGGAGUGGAUAUCAAUGAUAUCUCUGCAUGCAGGCUUCAUCAUCCUAUGUGUAAUCGCAAUAUGAAAGAAUGAUGAUGAGUUUUGUACCAUUCUUUCGAGGUGAUGAUAAAUUGUGUGCCACUCCUUCGAGAUCAUAGAAUGACUAGUUGGUAUAAUAUGAGAAAAUGAUGAUGAGUUGUGUGUCAUUUUUUCGGAGUGAUGAUAAGUUGUGUGCCACUCCCUCAUGACAUUGGUUUUUAUGUAUUUCUUUAUUAUCUAGUGGUAUUUCAGGAAGCCAUGCACCAUCUAGUAGUGCUAGGUAUAAUGUAUGAUAUAUUUUAUAUGCUUUUUCUGAUA